CGACCAGGGCCCUCUUUGUC
This 20-nucleotide microRNA is filed under the name Callorhinchus milii (elephant shark). RNAcentral describes it as "eshark_NOVEL_182". The record is from RNAcentral. Lineage: Eukaryota; Metazoa; Chordata; Chondrichthyes; Chimaeriformes; Callorhinchidae.